GCCUGCCUGGCUCAAUCGGUAGAGCAUGCAACUUUCAAUCUCAGGGUCAUGGGUUCACAUCUCACGUUGGGCG
Molecule: transfer RNA, 73 nt
Filed under: Canis lupus familiaris (dog)
Lineage: Eukaryota; Metazoa; Chordata; Mammalia; Carnivora; Canidae
Also listed under: 1 other name
Rfam family: tRNA
About the family: Transfer RNA (tRNA) molecules are approximately 80 nucleotides in length. Their secondary structure includes four short double-helical elements and three loops (D, anti-codon, and T loops).
Source: Rfam by way of RNAcentral